Molecule: unclassified non-coding RNA, 331 nt
Filed under: Suillus sp.
Lineage: Eukaryota; Fungi; Basidiomycota; Agaricomycetes; Boletales; Suillaceae
Also listed under: 3 other names
Description: partial contains 5.8S ribosomal RNA, internal transcribed spacer 2, and large subunit ribosomal RNA
Rfam family: 5.8S ribosomal RNA (bases 1-52)
Source: RNAcentral
AACGCACCUUGCGCUCCUCGGUGUUCCGAGGAGCAUGCCUGUUUGAGUGUCAGUAAAUUCUCAACCCCUCUCGAUUUGCUUCGAGCGGGUGCUUGGAUGUUGGGGGCUGCCGGAGACACUGGAUUCGUCCAGGACUCGGGCUCCUCUUAAAUGAAUCGGCUCGCGGUCGACUUUCGACUUUGCAUGACAAGGCCUUUGGCGUGAUAAUGAUCGCCGUUCGCCGAAGUGCAAGACAGAAUGGUCCCGUGCCUCUAAUGCGUCGACGCCUCUAGGGGCGUCUUCCUCAUUGACGUUUGACCUCAAAUCAGGUAGGACUACCCGCUGAACUUAA